UUCCGGUUGACCCUGCCAGACCUGACUGCUAUCGGAUUGAUACUAAGCCAUGCGAGUCAUUGUAGCAAUACAAGGCAUACGGCUCAGUAACGCGUAGUCAACCUAACCUAUGGACGGGAAUAACCUCGGGAAACUGAGAAUAAUGCCCGAUAGAACAUUAUACCUGGAAUGGUUUAUGUUCCAAAUGAUUUAUCGCCGUAGGAUGGGACUGCGGCCAAUCAGUUUGUUGGUGAGGUAAUGGCCCACCAAGACUAUUACAGGUACGGGCUCUGAGAGGAGUAGCCCGGAGAUGGGUACUGAGACACGGACCCAGGCCCUAUGGGGCGCAGCAGGCGAGAAAACUUUGCAAUGUGCGAAAGCACGACAAGGUUAAUCCGAGUGGUUUCUGCUAAAGGAACCUUUUGUUAGUCCUAGAAACACUAACGAAUAAGGGGUGGGCAAGUUCUGGUGUCAGCCGCCGCGGUAAAACCAGCACCUCAAGUGGUCAGGAUGAUUAUUGGGCCUAAAGCAUCCGUAGCCGGCUCUGUAAGUUCUCGGUUAAAUCUGUACGCUUAACGUACAGGCUGCCGGGAAUACUGCAGAGCUAGGGAGUGCGAGCGGUAGACGGAACUCGGUAGGAAGGGGUAUAAUCGUUUGCUCGUUUGAGACCCCCUGCCACAAAGCGGUCUAUCACACCAAGCGCGACGCUGCGGGAUGAUUAAGAGUCUUGGAUCCCCUACUCGUAUAGUCUCCAAUGAAACUAUGUAUGAGUAUUUUUGCGUUGAGAUGAGCCCCUUGCAGUGAUAGGUGCGGCGGGACGUACUAGUAUUAACGUAUAAA
This 819-nucleotide ribosomal RNA is filed under the name uncultured crenarchaeote. Its description in RNAcentral is "bacterial SSU rRNA". The stretch from base 1 to 720 matches the Rfam family "Archaeal small subunit ribosomal RNA". Lineage: Archaea; Thermoproteati; Thermoproteota. The record is from RNAcentral.